GGGGGUCCAGUGGCAGAGCCCUUUCCUUAUCUGGGUGGCAAUAUUAAUGAAGCCACUGCUUGUCUGCCUCCAAGGACGGUUAUUAGGAUUAAUAUAAUGACUGGUCUGAACCUACACUAGUGAAAUGAAGAAAUUACCCAUUUCAUUUCCCAUAGGGUAUUUAGGCAAAACACAUAAACUAAAUACUCCCAAAGGGCCAGAAAGAUUAUUGGGCCUUCUACAACGUAGCAGGUACUCUUGGCUCACCCGACUAACUGAAAUUUUGCAAAGCCCUUCGGGAUUUUACUGCAGAAAAUAAUUUACCUAUGUAUGAAAGACUGAAUGAUACUCUUUUCGGCUGAGUGGGCCUAGCUUUGGGGAAUUAUAGGUGAAGGAAUGAUUAAUGUGGCACACGUACUUGGGAUAAUUGUGGAUUGUCCUUUCUCAUCUGCUUUUUUAAAGGGUAAAAAAAAAAAUCCUUUCUGUCACCAGUUUGCAUCUCUGCAGGCUUAAACAAACAGACCUGAUUUUUAAAAAUGAAUCACAGGACAGAAUUUGGAAAAACUAAGUGCCACCAUAGUCUUGUCAAGAGAUGACACACUUAACCUAUUAGUUUUUCCAUGCUGUGGAUACAGUUAAUUAUAACUGAUGGUUCACAUUGGUGUACCUCGGGUGUUUAAUGAAGUUGUGCUGGAGUACGUUUCACUGCUGUUUUGUUAUGUCCUCUCUCGUACUGUAAAAAUAGUUUGUGAGGGUGCUCAGUGGAAACAAUAGUUGAAUAUGGAGAGAAAGUCUAAUUGGUUAAAUAAUUUGAUUGCUUUUCAUAAACCAAUGUAAUAUAGCAAUCUACCAAAAUCAGAAGUAAGGCCUUUGACUUAAGCGUGCUUUUUUAUUACUAUGAUUUACUCAUCUACCUAAAAAAGAAAAAUAGUGGUAACAUGUGGCAACAGUAUGUUCAUCUGAUGUGUAUACAAAUAUUAAAGUUCCAUGCCUCCCUCCUGUCUAAAUAUAGCAUUUGUAAUGUCAUUGCUUACAUAAGGUAUAAAUUCAGAAUAUCAGGGAUAUUACAAAAAAUUAAGAACAAAUAUGAUGCUUUAAUACAUUGUUCUAGGAAAUACUCGGAUCUGUGCAUUCAUGACUUGGAAUGUUGAAUAUUUAUUAUAUGCCUUCCCAGCCAAUUUUCUCUCUUUAUCCAGUAUGAGCCAUUGUUCUCCAUGUCUUAUUAAUACAUUUAUAUCCAGGGCACUGCUUAUUUCAUCUCACAAACUAUGACAUCAGAGGAAAAAUGACUGGGUUUCUUAAUCUGUACAAUGGAUGCAGGGAGGAUUUAUAGGACAUGGAAGUCCCUUAGCAAGCUCAUGGGUUCUUGUGAGAUUAAAAGAGAAACCAUUAUAAUCAAUGCUAAAUAUGAUCUCUUUUUUAUAAGGAAAUCUGAGAUCUUUAAAUGCAUACUAUUGGGGCAUCUGGGUGGAUCAGUCAGGUAAGCAUUUGACUCUUGGCUUUGGCUCAGGUCGGGAUCUUAGGGUCAUGGGACCUGGCUCCAUGCUGAGCACAGAUCUGCUUCAGAUUCUCUCUCCCACUCCUUCUGCAACCCUCCCAACCCCACCCCACUUGCACUCUCUGUCUUUCAGAUAAUAAAUAAAAUCUUUAAAAUAAAUGCGCACUAUCUCUGGCUUUCCUUGGUUAUGCUAAAUUUGUAAUUCUAGAACUUACGUGAAGUUUUAGAACAGGGUCUAGUACAUAGCAAGUGCUUAAUGAGUGAUAGCUAUUAUUACUGCAAUUAUUGUUCUGAAAUUGUGGUUCUCUGUUUAUUGCAGCAAGCACUAAUGGGGCUAAAUGAGAUUGGGAAAGUAUUGUUAAAACAGAACACAAUGUAUCAUCUUUCCUGUUUGCAGGAAAUACGGAAAAUAUUUGCCACUGAUUGGGAAAGAUGCCUUUUUAAAAAUAUAUAGUACGUGCAUAACUUAAUGGGAGAGCAGAAAGGAGAUGUCUCAAUAAUAUGUUAAGAGAAUAGUGUGGGUACAAAGUUGUCAUGGUGCACAAUACAGUGUUAUAUGUAUUAACUUUCUUAUAUCGAUCCAGGAAAUGAUUUUCUAGGAAAAAAAUUAUAAGUAUUUGUAAUCAUUGACUAAAGAAGCACCCAAAGGUUUCAAGCUGUGUAUGACCUUCUGUUAACACUCUGGAUGAGAUAUGUCAUCAUUAUUUUUGUCUUUGAGGGUGCUCCAAACCCAUAAAAUUUCCAUUUAAUGAUGAAAUAUUGCAAUGAGUUAGUCUAUAGAAUAACAAGAUUUUCCAUUAAGUAAGGUAACACAAAGACUUAUUUAGUAUAAGACAAAAGAAAGCCCAAUAGAAAAUAAUACAUAUCCGUGGCUAAAAGCUGAGAGAAUCUUCCAGUAGCAGAAGGCAUUGUCUAUCUAAAUUGAAGCAGAGAAAUGGUUACCAUAGUGACUUAUCUCUUAAAAUAGUUGUAUGAUUUUUUUCUUUUCAUAAACAAUGUUACGUAUUAUCUCCCUUUAAGUAAAGAAAGCUGAUACGUUUAAAUGCACACAUUCCCUGGUUUUCCUUAAUUAUGUUAAGAUUUUUAAUUCAGGUGCCCACAUAAGAGGAUGUCAGCUAGGAGCAUGGAGAAGGUCCUUUUUUUAUUUUUAUUUUUUUAUUUAUGAUAGUCACAGAGAGAGAGAGAGAGAGAGAGAGAGAGAGAGAGAGGCAGAGACACAGGCAGAGGGAGAAGCAGGCUCCAUGCACCGGGAGCCCGACGUGGGAUUCGAUCCCGGGUCUCCAGGAUCGCGCCCUGGGCCAAAGGCAGGCGCCAAACCGCUGCGCCACCCAGGGAUCCCUAGGAGCAUGGAGAAGGUCCUUGACGGCACUGGGGGUUAUUCUGUAUGUUAGUAAAUUGAACACCAAUAAAAAAAUAAAUUAAAAACAAAAUAAAUUAAAAAAAAAAAA
Molecule: long non-coding RNA, 2925 nt
Filed under: Canis lupus familiaris (dog)
Lineage: Eukaryota; Metazoa; Chordata; Mammalia; Carnivora; Canidae
Description: lncRNA (ENSCAFG00845024286.1)
Source: RNAcentral